This 464-nucleotide ribosomal RNA is filed under the name Vreelandella stevensii. RNAcentral's name for it is "partial 16S ribosomal RNA". It matches the Rfam family "Bacterial small subunit ribosomal RNA", at positions 338 to 795 of the family's 1533-position model. Lineage: Bacteria; Pseudomonadati; Pseudomonadota; Gammaproteobacteria; Oceanospirillales; Halomonadaceae. The record is from RNAcentral.
CCUACGGUGGCUGCAGUGGGGAAUAUUGGACAAUGGGCGAAAGCCUGAUCCAGCCAUGCCGCGUGUGUGAAGAAGGCCUUCGGGUUGUAAAGCACUUUCAGUGGGGAAGAAAGCCUUGGGGCUAAUACCCUCGAGGAAGGACAUCACCCACAGAAGAAGCACCGGCUAACUCCGUGCCAGCAGCCGCGGUAAUACGGAGGGUGCGAGCGUUAAUCGGAAUUACUGGGCGUAAAGCGCGCGUAGGCGGUCUGAUAAGCCGGUUGUGAAAGCCCCGGGCUCAACCUGGGAACGGCAUCCGGAACUGUCAGGCUAGAGUGCAGGAGAGGAAGGUAGAAUUCCCGGUGUAGCGGUGAAAUGCGUAGAGAUCGGGAGGAAUACCAGUGGCGAAGGCGGCCUUCUGGACUGACACUGACGCUGAGGUGCGAAAGCGUGGGUAGCAAACAGGAUUAGAUACCCUGGUAGUC